This 330-nucleotide ribosomal RNA is filed under the name Triticum aestivum (bread wheat). RNAcentral's name for it is "partial small subunit ribosomal RNA". Lineage: Eukaryota; Viridiplantae; Streptophyta; Magnoliopsida; Poales; Poaceae. The record is from RNAcentral.
AUGCUGAACUCCUUCCUUGACAUCAUGUAUCGCAUCUUCCGCAACUCCCUCUUUCCACACAUUGGUGAGAAGGACAAGGUGCAUGCCUAUCUUGUGGAUAUGAUGCUCAUUUGUGAGGAGGCGCGCCACUCUCAGUCGCAACCAUUUGAUGUCUCACAUAUCAUGUGGUGCGAGCUUUGGUUUGCGGUGUUCAACCGUAAGGUUCCCAUCUAUGGACCUUACCUAUUUCUGUUGAUCUCAAAGACUUGGGAGAAGCACUUUCCCAAUGAGGAGUUUCUUGCCCCUGACUGGACUCAUCAUGAGCCCAUCAAGCUCCGUGUCAAGACCUAG